RNAcentral lists this long non-coding RNA (293 nucleotides) under Medicago truncatula (barrel medic). RNAcentral's name for it is "lncRNA gene16561". The record is from RNAcentral. Lineage: Eukaryota; Viridiplantae; Streptophyta; Magnoliopsida; Fabales; Fabaceae.
GAAGGGCUCAUGUGAAGUGUAAAUUUUGAUAGAUCUAUCACUGUAAGAAACAACCCCAAUUCAAUUUGAAAGGACAGUAAGAGAGAGAGGAAGAGCAGAGAAAAAGAAGAAGCCAGAAUGUGAGAUGCCAAAGCCAAAACCCCUUUGGUAAAAAGAGUAUAGCGGCACCUUCAAAUUCUGACUUAGAAUUCUGCUCUUUAUUUCCCAACAUAGCAUUUGCGAUGGAAUUGGGUAUUAUUUCCCACAUAAGACAUUUUCUCUCUUUGUAAUCAUCGCCCAUUUUCACCUUCAGC